This is a non-coding RNA of Gossypium raimondii (Peruvian cotton), 136 nucleotides long. NCBI's taxonomy places the organism in Eukaryota, Viridiplantae, Streptophyta, Magnoliopsida, Malvales, Malvaceae. The record is from Rfam.
UAUUAAAAGUUUCAUCCAUUUCUACUGUUAAAAGCUAACAUGGCUAACAGAAUAAUUAGAUAGGCGUGCCAUGUGUACCUCAUUCUGAUGUACUGGGACCAGUUUUUAAUAGUAGAAAUUGAUGAAAUUUUUAACA